This 376-nucleotide ribosomal RNA is filed under the name uncultured bacterium. RNAcentral's name for it is "bacterial SSU rRNA". It matches the Rfam family "Bacterial small subunit ribosomal RNA", at positions 521 to 896 of the family's 1533-position model. The record is from RNAcentral.
UAAUACGUAGAGUGCAAACGUUGUUCGGAAUUACUGGGCAUAAAGAGCUCGUAGGCGGCGCAAAAAGUCGGCUGUGAAAGCCCCUGGCUCAACCAGGGAAUUGCGGCCGAAACUGCUGUGCUUGAGUGUGAGAGGGGAGAGUGGAACUUCCAGUGGAGCGGUGAAAUGCGUAGAUAUUGGAAGGAACGCCGGUGGCGAAAGCGACUCUCUGGCUCACAACUGACGCUGAGGAGCGAAAGCUAGGGUAGCGAACGGGAUUAGAUACCCCGGUAGUCCUAGCCGUAAACGAUGGGCACUAAGUGGAGGGAAUCCUACAUUCUCUCUUCUGAAGCUAAUGUGUUAAGUGCCCCGCCUGGGGAGUAUGGUCGCAAGGCUG